Long non-coding RNA from Cydia fagiglandana, 929 nucleotides. RefSeq lists it as uncharacterized. NCBI's taxonomy places the organism in Eukaryota, Metazoa, Arthropoda, Insecta, Lepidoptera, Tortricidae. The transcript is spliced from 4 exons. The record is from RefSeq and is a predicted model, not a curated record.
AGCUCGCCCGUACGAAGGACGAGGAAAUUUCAGAGUGCACAAUACAAGCCUGUAACGUUGCAUAAUAUGGCGCGUGUUCAGCCAAAGUAUUCGUUAUGGUAUUUGCUACACCUAGCCAACCGGGGCAUAUGUUUUUCGAUAUGACGCCGAACGUCAGGUGUUCAUCUCGAGACUAUCAAACCUAAACAGACUCUAUGGUAUAAGCCUUACGUGUUUUAUUAGCCGGGCACGUGAGGAGUUGUUUGUGUCAUAUAGGAAUAGCGUGGACUUGAGCCCUCCCUCUCGGAAUUCGCGCUGCAGUAGAGGGUACUUGAGACUUUGGCGAUGUGAUCCGAGCGGCGAUAUUCGCGGGCGCGGGACUCCACUCGCUGCAUCCCUCUUGCUCCCGGCUCGCGGCGCGCGGCGAGCGGCGCUCGGCGGGCGGGAGGCGCCCGGCGUCACUCACGUCGACUCGGUCUCCUCGGUCGUGUGUCCGAACCUCUCCUGUCCGCGACGUGCGAUCUCUCCGAACCCUACCGGUACUAACGUACGCCGCGUCCUAGACGCGACUCUUAACAACAUAUCCCUAGCGCUUAACCCUUCACAGACCCGUUAACCUGGGCUCCGUAGUAACGGUCAGUAUUCUUUCAAAGUUGAGUUUCGAAGUUUUCUCUCAGUGUUUCGGACUAUAUAAAUACAACGCGUCAGCGUUUAAACUUUAAGGGCUUGUGUCCUACCGUAAAUAAAGGAUUGUUUGGAUUGACGGAAAGUGUCUGAACUUCUGAAGUGAAGCGAGCUGCCUUCGCGUUUCAUUUGCAUCUGUCAAACAGAUUGUUAGUACAUCGUAACAAAGAAAUCGUCGCUGAGAUAAUAUUGAAUACAACGUUAAAUCUGAGGCAUCACGCAGAUUUCCCUGAAACUAUAACACGUGACCUGAAGGAUAUUGAAAU